CUUGGUACUUCCCAGGAAGUAAAAGUCGUAACAAGGUUUCCGUAGGUGAACCUGCUGCCGGAUCAUUAUUGAAUGAACUUGGCUUAGUUGCUGCUGGUCUUUUCGAAGGCAUGUGCACACUAUGUCAUCUUUAUCUCUCCACCUGUGCACCUCUUGUAGACCUAGAUUCAACUCUCUGAGGCAACUCGGGUUGGGAGGAUUAUGCUUAGCAAUUCCUUGUAUGUCUCUAGGCCUAUGUUUUUCAUAUACNCCAUAAGAAUGUAAUAGAAUGUAAAUUGGGCUUUAUUGUCCUAUAAACUAUAUACAACUUUCAGCAACGGAUCUCUUGGCUCUCGCAUCGAUGAAGAACGCAGCGAAAUGCGAUAAGUAAUGUGAAUUGCAGAAUUCAGUGAAUCAUCGAAUCUUUGAACGCACCUUGCGCUCCUUGGUAUUCCGAGGAGCGUGCCUGUUUGAGUGUCAUUAAAUUCUCAACCUUUAUCUUUAUUGAUAAAUGGCUUGGACUUGGGGGUUUGCUGGCNAAAGUCAGCUCCUCUGAAAUGUAUUANCUGGUUGCCUUGUGNGAACUUGUCUAUUGGUGUGAUAAUUAUCUACGCCGUGGGCUGUUUGCCGUUUUAGCACUGCUUCUAACUGUCUGUUAACUCGGACAAUAUAUGACAAUUUGACCUCAAAUCAGGUAGGACUACCCGCUGAACUUAAGCAUAUCAACACAUGCUGAGGGUCAGUA
This 724-nucleotide ribosomal RNA is filed under the name uncultured fungus. Its description in RNAcentral is "eukaryotic LSU rRNA". The stretch from base 306 to 459 matches the Rfam family "5.8S ribosomal RNA". The record is from RNAcentral. Lineage: Eukaryota; Fungi.